RNAcentral lists this ribosomal RNA (142 nucleotides) under uncultured Alphaproteobacteria bacterium. Its description in RNAcentral is "partial 16S ribosomal RNA". It matches the Rfam family "Bacterial small subunit ribosomal RNA", at positions 537 to 678 of the family's 1533-position model. Lineage: Bacteria; Pseudomonadati; Pseudomonadota; Alphaproteobacteria. The record is from RNAcentral.
AACGUUGUUCGGAUUUACUGGGCGUAAAGCGCACGUAGGCGGAUCGUUAAGUCGGGGGUGAAAUCCUGGAGCUCAACUCCAGAACUGCCUUUGAUACUGGCGAUCUUGAGUCCGGGAGAGGUGAGUGGAACUGCGAGUGUAG